RNAcentral lists this ribosomal RNA (460 nucleotides) under uncultured bacterium. Its description in RNAcentral is "partial 16S ribosomal RNA". It matches the Rfam family "Bacterial small subunit ribosomal RNA", at positions 338 to 795 of the family's 1533-position model. The record is from RNAcentral.
CCUACGGGAGGCAGCAGUGAGGCAUAUUGGUCAAUGGACGCAAGUCUGAACCAGCCAUGCCGCGUGCAGGAAGACGGCUCUAUGAGUUGUAAACUGCUUUUGUACGAGGGUAAACGCAGAUACGCGUAUCUGUCUGACAGUAUCGUACGAAUAAGGAUCGGCUAAAUCCGUGCCAGCAGCCGCGGUAAAACGGAGGAUUCAAGCGUUAUCCGGAUUUAUUGGGUUUAAAGGGGGCGGAGGCGGUCGGAUAAGUUAGAGGUGAAAUCCCGAGGUUAAACUUCGGAAUUGCCUCUGAUACUGUUCGGCUAGAGAGUAGGUGCGGUAGGCGGAAGGUAUGGUGUAGCGGUGAAAUGCUUAGAGAUCAUACAGAACACCGAGUGCGAAGGCAGCGUACCAAGCUACUUCUGACGUUGAGGCACGAAAGCGUGGGGAGCAAACAGGAUUAGAUACCCGAGUAGUC